UAUGGUCAAGUGACUAAGCGCACACGGUGGAUGCCUUGGCAGUCAGAGGCGAUGAAAGACGUGGAAGCCUGCGAUAAGGCUCGGGGAGCUGGCAAACAAGCUUUGAUCCGGGCAUUUCUGAAUGGGGAAACCCACUUAGCACAAGCUAGGUAUCCUGCACUGAAUACAUAGGUGUAGGAGGCAAACCGGGAGAACUGAAACAUCUAAGUACCCCGAGGAAAAGAAAUCAACCGAGAUUCCCUUAGUAGCGGCGAGCGAACGGGGAUUAGCCCUUAAGUCUGUAGAGUGUUAGUGGAAGGCUCUGGAAAGUGCCGCGAUAGAGGGUGAUAGCCCCGUACACGAAAAUGCUUUACAGGUGAAAACGAGUAGGACGGGACACGAGAAAUCCUGUUUGAAGAUGGGGGGACCAUCCUCCAAGGCUAAAUACUCCUGACUGACCGAUAGUGAACCAGUACCGUGAGGGAAAGGCGAAAAGAACCCCUGUUAGGGGAGUGAAAUAGACCCUGAAACCGUGUGCGUACAAGCAGUCGGAGCAGACUUGUUCUGUGACGGCGUACCUUUUGUAUAAUGGGUCAGCGACUUAUUCUCAGUGGCGAGGUUAACCGUAUAGGGGAGCCGUAGGGAAACCGAGUCUUAAUAGGGCGCGCAGUCGCUGGGAAUAGACCCGAAACCGGGCGAUCUACCCAUGGGCAGGUUGAAGGUUGAGUAACAUCAACUGGAGGACCGAACCGUAAUCUGUUGAAAAAGAUUCGGAUGACCUGUGGGUCGGAGUGAAAGGCUAAUCAAGCCCGGAGAUAGCUGGUUCUCCUCGAAAGCUAUUUAGGUAGCGCCUCGUGUAUCACCACCGGAGGUAGAGCACUGUUUGGACUAGGGGGUCAUCCCGACUUACCAACUCCAUGCAAACUCCGAAUACCGGUGAGUGCAAGCACGGGAGACACACGGCGGGUGCUAACGUCCGUCGUGAAAAGGGAAACAACCCAGACCGCCAGCUAAGGCCCCAAAAUCCUGGUUAAGUGGGAAACGAUGUGGGAAGGCUAAAACAGCUAGGAGGUUGGCUUAGAAGCAGCCAUCCUUUAAAGAAAGCGUAAUAGCUCACUAGUCGAGUCGGCCCGCGCGGAAGAUGUAACGGGGCUCAAACCAGGUGCCGAAGCUGCGGGCUCAUCUAUGAUGAGCGGUAGAGGAGCGUUGUGUAAGCCGUCGAAGGUGGAUUGAGAAGUCUGCUGGAGGUAUCACAAGUGCGAAUGCUGACAUGAGUAACGAUAAGGGGUGUGAAAAACACCCCCGCCGGAAGACCAAGGUUUCCUAUCCCAUGCUAAUCAGGGUAGGGUGAGUCGGCCCCUAAGGCGAGGCGGAAACGCGUAGUCGAUGGGAAGCAGGUUAAUAUUCCUGCACUUGUUGUGAUUGCGAUGGGAGGACGGAGAAGGCUAGGCGAGCCAGGCGUUGGUUGUCCUGGUGAAAGCAAGUAGGCGGUGCCCUUAGGCAAAUCCGGGGGUGCAUAACGCCGAGAUGCGAGAGGAAGAUGAUCUUCGGAGAUUCGAACUCGUUGAUGCCACGCUUCCAAGAAAAGUCUCUAAGCUUCAGAUCACAAGAAACCGUACCCCAAACCGACACAGGUGGUCAGGUCGAGAAGACCAAGGCGCUUGAGAGAACUCGGGUGAAGGAACUAGGCAAAAUGGUGCCGUAACUUCGGGAGAAGGCACGCCGACAUUAGGUGACGUUUACACGAACUGAGCCGAAGUCGGUCGAAGAUACCAGGCCCCUGCAACUGUUUAUUAAAAACACAGCACUCUGCAAACACGUAAGUGGACGUAUAGGGUGUGACGCCUGCCCGGUGCCGGAAGGUUAAUUGAUGGGGUUAGCGCAAGCGAAGCUCUUGAUCGAAGCCCCGGUAAACGGCGGCCGUAACUAUAACGGUCCUAAGGUAGCGAAAUUCCUUGUCGGGUAAGUUCCGACCUGCACGAAUGGCGUAAUGAUGGGGGCGCUGUCUCCACCCGAGACUCAGUGAAAUUGAAAUCGCCGUGAAGAUGCGGUGUAUCCGCGGCUAGACGGAAAGACCCCGUGAACCUUUACUAUAGCUUCACACUGGACUUUGAUAUUGUUUGUGUAGGAUAGCUGGGAGGCUUUGAAACUGUGACGCUAGUUGCAGUGGAGCCAACCUUGAAAUACCAGCCUGGCAAUCUUGAGGUUCUAACCUAGAUCCAUUAUCUGGAUCAGGGACCGUGUGUGGUGGGUAGUUUGACUGGGGCGGUCUCCUCCCAAAGAGUAACGGAGGAGCACAAAGGUACCCUCAGGCUGGUCGGAAAUCAGCCAAUGAGUGCAAGAGCAUAAGGGUGCUUGACUGCGAGACAGACACGUCGAGCAGGUACGAAAGUAGGUUCUAGUGAUCCGGUGGUUCUGUAUGGAAGGGCCAUCGCUCAACGGAUAAAAGGUACUCCGGGGAUAACAGGCUGAUACCGCCCAAGAGUUCACAUCGACGGCGGUGUUUGGCACCUCGAUGUCGGCUCAUCACAUCCUGGGGCUGAAUUCGGUCCCAAGGGUAUGGCUGUUCGCCAUUUAAAGUGGUACGCGAGCUGGGUUUAGAACGUCGUGAGACAGUUCGGUCCCUAUCUGCCGUGGACGUUGGAGACUUGAGAAGAGCUGCUCCUAGUACGAGAGGACCGGAGUGGACGAACCUCUGGUGUUCCGGUUGUCAUGCCAAUGGCACUGCCGGGUAGCUAUGUUCGGACGGGAUAACCGCUGAAAGCAUCUAAGCGGGAAGCCCCCUUCAAGAUAAGGUCUCCCUGAGGACUUGAUCCUCCUAAAGGGCCCUUGAAGACGACAAGGUUGAUAGGCCGGGUGUGGAAGUGCAGCAAUGCAUUGAGCUAACCGGUACUAAUGACCCGUGAGGCUUGACCAUA
Molecule: ribosomal RNA, 2897 nt
Filed under: Marinospirillum celere
Lineage: Bacteria; Pseudomonadati; Pseudomonadota; Gammaproteobacteria; Oceanospirillales; Oceanospirillaceae
Description: bacterial LSU rRNA
Rfam family: Bacterial large subunit ribosomal RNA
Source: RNAcentral